GCCGGAGUAGCUCAGUUGGCAGAGCAUCGCUCUUGUAAAGCGAAGGUCGUCGGUUCGAGCCCGACCUCCGGCU
RNAcentral lists this transfer RNA (73 nucleotides) under Thermoleophilaceae bacterium. Its description in RNAcentral is "tRNA-Thr". It matches the Rfam family "tRNA". Rfam says of the family: Transfer RNA (tRNA) molecules are approximately 80 nucleotides in length. Their secondary structure includes four short double-helical elements and three loops (D, anti-codon, and T loops). Lineage: Bacteria; Bacillati; Actinomycetota; Thermoleophilia; Thermoleophilales; Thermoleophilaceae. The record is from RNAcentral.